AGACGACGGAAUUUGACGAGUUAUCCAUGACCUCCGUUCUGUAGGGAUCCACGAUAGAAGGACCGUAUCAUAUGAUAACUGCACCUAGAGGUUCAUCAUUCCAUUCUGCUGGGUUGCCACUACAUGCUGCUAGGUGUUACUGGUGGAUGGUGAGACUCACAGGGACUAUCUUGAUGAUCGAUGGUCCCUGGUGAGUUGAGUUGGAAUUGUUCCAACUCAUUGAAAGGAGUUUUCAAUAAUAUUGUGAUAGAGAUCGCAAUAUAUCUCACUACCAAACAGAAUAGAACCUAUGGGGUCACACACAUUAGAGGUAUUGACCGAUCCGAUGGUUGAAUUGUGAUUAGGAAUCACAAAUAAUUAAUUUGAUUGAUAAUUGGUUAACCCGCUAAGAGUUAGUGAGUUAAAGAAGGAAUAAUUGCAAUUGGAUUGCAAUUUAAUUUAAUUAAUUGAAUUUAAUUAAUUGGACUUAAUUACGAGUUCUACUUGG
RNAcentral lists this long non-coding RNA (487 nucleotides) under Phoenix dactylifera (date palm). Its description in RNAcentral is "long non-coding RNA (PDAC_LNC002178)". The record is from RNAcentral. Lineage: Eukaryota; Viridiplantae; Streptophyta; Magnoliopsida; Arecales; Arecaceae.